RNAcentral lists this ribosomal RNA (361 nucleotides) under uncultured bacterium. RNAcentral describes it as "partial 16S ribosomal RNA". It matches the Rfam family "Bacterial small subunit ribosomal RNA", at positions 338 to 697 of the family's 1533-position model. The record is from RNAcentral.
CCUACGGGUGGCAGCAGUGAGGAAUAUUGGUCAAUGGCCGUAAGGCUGAACCAGCCAAGUAGCGUGAGGGAAGACUGCCCUAUGGGUUGUAAACCUCUUUUAUGCGGGGAUAAAGGUGUCCACGUGUGGAUGUUUGCAGGUACCGCAUGAAUAAGGACCGGCUAAUUCCGUGCCAGCAGCCGCGGUAAUACGGAAGGUCCGGGCGUGAUCCGGAUUUAUUGGGUUUAAAGGGAGCGUAGGCGGGCGGUUAAGUCAGCGGUAAAAGCCCGGGGCGCAACCCCGGCGAGCCGUUGAAACUGGCUAUCUUGAGAGGACGAGAGGUAUGCGGAAUGCGCAGUGUAGCGGUGAAAUGCUUAGAUAU